AAAAAAAAGAAUUUUGUCACAAGCUUACCAGUUGAGCGUUUGUGUAAAGCUAAAGAAAAAGGCUUGUUUUGAAUCUUGUGUGACACGGGAGCAGUUUGUGUUAAAUAAAUGAAUUGCAGUUACUGGAAG
This is a long non-coding RNA of Myripristis murdjan (pinecone soldierfish), 129 nucleotides long. RefSeq lists it as uncharacterized. The record is from RefSeq and is a predicted model, not a curated record. Lineage: Eukaryota; Metazoa; Chordata; Actinopteri; Holocentriformes; Holocentridae. The transcript is spliced from 5 exons.